RNAcentral lists this ribosomal RNA (253 nucleotides) under uncultured Eubacteriales bacterium. RNAcentral describes it as "uncultured Clostridiales bacterium partial 16S ribosomal RNA". It matches the Rfam family "Bacterial small subunit ribosomal RNA", at positions 524 to 776 of the family's 1533-position model. Lineage: Bacteria; Bacillati; Bacillota; Clostridia; Eubacteriales. The record is from RNAcentral.
UACGUAGGGGGCAAGCGUUAUCCGGAUUUACUGGGUGUAAAGGGAGCGUAGGCGGCUUAGUAAGUCAGAAGUGAAAGCCCGCAGCUCAACUGCGGGACUGCUUUUGAAACUGCCAGGCUAGAGUGUCGGAGAGGUAAGUGGAAUUCCCAGUGUAGCGGUGGAAUGCGCAGAUAUUGGGAAGAACACCGGCGGCGAAGGCGGCCUUCUGGGCCACGACUGACGCUGAGGCGCGAAAGCUAGGGGAGCGAACAGG